Long non-coding RNA from Cotesia glomerata, 710 nucleotides. RefSeq lists it as uncharacterized. NCBI's taxonomy places the organism in Eukaryota, Metazoa, Arthropoda, Insecta, Hymenoptera, Braconidae. The transcript is spliced from 2 exons. The record is from RefSeq and is a predicted model, not a curated record.
AAAAAAAAAAAAAAAUCAUAAAGAAAGAGACAGAAAGUAUAAUAUAUAAUAUAUAAUUUAUAAGAGGGUGGACCAAAUUGAAUAAGGUAAUCCAAGAAAUUUAUUGAUAACUGCAAAUCUCUACUACGUGACAUGUUGUACAACUAAUGGGUUUUACAUUUGUCAUUAAUAUAACACACAUUGAUAAAUUCCCACGUGAUGUAUACACAAGAGAAAUUACGAAAAUCUCUCUGUAAACAACUUUUUUUAUUUCUAUAUUAUAUAUAUAUAUAUAUAUAUAAUAAAACUAAACUCAAUAUUACUAUCAUUAUGUUUUACAUGCAAACAAAAUUUUUAUGUACUUUAUGUACUUAAUAACAAUGUAUUUGAAAACCAUAACAAUUUAUGUAUAUUAGUAGUUUACAAUAUAUAACAAAUUGCAAUCGAGUAUAUAUUGUUAUGGCUGUUAAAUUUUGUUUUAAAACAUUUUUACAAACAUCGGUAUUGAAUUGUAUAUAAACUUGAUAAAUUGUUACAUGUUAAACACAUAUCUCUAUCAUUGUUAUUAUCAUUAAUAGACGUACAGAUAAACGAAUUCAUAUUCAAUCAAAAAUUUUACGAUAAUAACAAUUUGUCGAUUCUCAAGAUAGAAGAAAAAAAAAAUAAAAAAAAAAAGACAAAUGUAACAUAACUUGCAUAUGCAGAUAACAUGAAUAUACAAAUAUUUUAUU